Molecule: long non-coding RNA, 732 nt
Organism: Pipra filicauda (Wire-tailed manakin)
Lineage: Eukaryota; Metazoa; Chordata; Aves; Passeriformes; Pipridae
Exons: 5
Source: RefSeq, a predicted model, not a curated record
CGGGGACGGGGCAGCUCCCGCCCCGCCUCCGGCCCGGCCCCGGCGCUGUGCUCGCCCCGGCUGCUUCUGUCUGCAGGGUUCCCUCGCCUCUCCGCCGGACCCAGGCGGAGGGCAGCGAGGGUGAUUGGGAGACUGGAGCAUCUCACUUAACUAGGGAGAGCUGGGCCUGUUCAGCCUCCAGAAGAGACGAUUGAGAUGGGACCCCAUCAAUGUCUGUUCUGCAAGCCUUGAGAAUGGGAAGUUCUUCAGCAUCAGUCCCAGAAGUCCCUGCUCAUUUGGCAGCUCCCAUAGUAUCAGCACUGCUGAAGAUUAGGAGGUCCUUUCCAGUAACUGCCAUGGUAUGAAGCUGGUGUGAAGUUUGUUAUAAAACACAACAGAAGUGGUUCACAACAAGCAGUGCAGGAGGGCAGGUGGGCACAUGGGGAGAACGUGAAACAGAGGUUCUAGGAGCCCUGCUGGACCUCAUGUCACUGUUCCUUCAUAAAAGAGCCUUCAUGGAAGCAGUAAUGAUCUCCACUCCAGUAUCAAUGUCUUCUUGGACAUCACAUGGUCAUCUUCUGGAACUAAAUCAGAAAUUUUAACUGAAAUCUCUAAAUCCAUGUUAGACUCCAACUGCUAUUUAGUUUUAAAGAACUGUGAUUAGUAACAGCUUACUUUUUUUUAACUCACCUGUUACUUCUCUGAAUAAUAUCAAUGUCCUAUUAGCUUUUAAGUAUAGUUAACUGAAUGAAU